GACGAACGCUGGCGGCGUGCCUAAUACAUGCAAGUUGAGCGCUGAAGGUUGGUACUUGUACCAACUGGAUGAGCAGCGAACGGGUGAGUAACGCGUGGGGAAUCUGCCUUUGAGCGGGGGACAACAUUUGGAAACGAAUGCUAAUACCGCAUAAAAACUUUAAACACAAGUUUUAAGUUUGAAAGAUGCAAUUGCAUCACUCAAAGAUGAUCCCGCGUUGUAUUAGCUAGUUGGUGAGGUAAAGGCUCACCAAGGCGAUGAUACAUAGCCGACCUGAGAGGGUGAUCGGCCACAUUGGGACGGAGACACGGCCCAAACCCCUACGGGAGGCAGCAGUAGGGAAUCUUCGGCAAUGGACGAAAGGCUGACCGAGCAACGCCGCGGGAGUGAAGAAGGGUUUCGGAUCGGAAAAAUCUGUUGGUAGAGAAGAACGUUGGUGAGAGUGGAAAGCUCAUCAAGUGACGGUAACUACCCAGAAAGGGACGGCUAACUACGUG
RNAcentral lists this ribosomal RNA (497 nucleotides) under uncultured bacterium. RNAcentral's name for it is "partial 16S ribosomal RNA". It matches the Rfam family "Bacterial small subunit ribosomal RNA", at positions 28 to 507 of the family's 1533-position model. The record is from RNAcentral.